Molecule: ribosomal RNA, 1008 nt
Filed under: uncultured organism
Description: bacterial SSU rRNA
Rfam family: Bacterial small subunit ribosomal RNA
Source: RNAcentral
AUCCUGAGUAGAGUGGCGCACGGGUGAGUAACACGUAGAUAAUCUACCUUCAAGCCCGGGAUAACCCUUCGAAAGGAUGGCUAAUACCGGAUGCAGUGCAGACCCACAAGUGUCUGUAUGAAAGACUGCCUCUUCUUGAAAGCAGUUGUUUGAAGAUGAGUUUGCGUACCAUUAGCUUGUUGGUGGGGUAAUGGCCCACCAAGGCUGUGAUGGUUAGCUGGUCUGAGAGGAUGAUCAGUCACACUGGAACUGGAACACGGUCCAGACUCCUACGGGAGGCAGCAGUGAGGAAUUUUGCGCAAUGGGGGAAACCCUGACGCAGCAACGCCGCGUGAGUGAAGAAGGCCCUUGGGUCGUAAAGCUCUGUCAACCGGGAAGAAGUUACAUAGCAUUAACAAUGAUAUGUAUUGACGGUACCGGUGGAGGAAGCGCCGGCUAACUCCGUGCCAGCAGCCGCGGUAACACGGGGGGCGCAAGCGUUAUUCGGAAUUAUUGGGCGUAAAGGGCGCGUAGGCGGUCUUGUCGGUCAGAUGUGAAGCCCGGGGCUCAACCCUGGAAGUGCAUUUGAAACAGCAAGACUUGAGUACGGGAGAGGAAAGCGGAAUUCCUGGUGUAGAGGUGAAAUUCGUAGAUCUCAGGAGGAACACCGAUGGCGAAGGCAGCUUUCUGGACCGAUACUGACGCUGAGGCGCGAAGGCGUGGGUAGCGAACAGGAUUAGAUACCCUGGUAGUCCACGCAGUAAACGAUGUUCACUAGGUGUAGCGGGUAUUAAAAUCUGCUGUGCCGCAGUCAACGCAUUAAGUGAACCGCCUGGGAAGUACGGUCGCAAGACUAAAACUUCAAAGGAAUUGACCGGGGCCCGCACAAGCGGUGGAGCAUGUGGUUUAAUUCGACGCAACGCGAAGAACCUUACCUGGGUUUGACAUCCUGUGAAUCUUCCAGAGAUGGAAGAGUGCCUUCGGGAGCACAGAGACAGGUGCUGCAUGGCUGUCGUCAGCUCGUGUCGU